CCUACGGGAGGCAGCAGUGGGGAAUCUUGCACAAUGGAGGAAACUCUGAUGCAGCGAUGCCGCGUGAGUGAAGAAGGCCUUUGGGUUGUAAAGCUCUUUUGUAGGGGAAGAUAAUGACUGUACCCUAAGAAUAAGGUCCGGCUAACUUCGUGCCAGCAGCCGCGGUAAUACGAAGGGACCUAGCGUAGUUCGGAAUUACUGGGCGUAAAGCGCGCGUAGGCCGUUGAGUUAGUUAAUUGUGAAAUCCCAAAGCUUAACUUUGGAACUGCAAUUAAAACUGCUCGACUAGAGUUUGAUAGAGGAAAGCGGAAUACAUAGUGUAGAGGUGAAAUUCGUAGAUAUUAUGUAGAACACCAGUUGCGAAGGCGGCUUUCUGGAUCAACACUGACGCUGAGGCGCGAAAGUAUGGGUAGCAAAGAGGAUUAGAUACCCUCGUAGUCCAUACCAUAAACGAUGAUUGCUAGAUGUUGGAAAUUUAUUUUACAGUAUCGCAGCUAACGCAUUAAGCAAUCCGCCUGGGGAGUACGACCGCAAGGUUAAAACUCAAAGGAAAUUGAACGG
Molecule: ribosomal RNA, 561 nt
Filed under: uncultured bacterium
Lineage: Bacteria
Description: bacterial SSU rRNA
Rfam family: Bacterial small subunit ribosomal RNA
Source: RNAcentral